GACCUCAGAUCAGGUAGGACCACCGCCUGAACUUAAGCAUAUCAAUAAGGCGAGGAACAGAAACCAACAGGGAUUCCCCUAGUAGUGGCGAAUGAAGCGGGAAAAGCUCAAGUUUGAAAUCUGGUGGGCUCGUCCCCUCAGAGUUGUAAGCUGAAGAGGCAUCGACCGACGUCGUCUGGGCCCAAUUUCCUUGGAACAGGAAGUCAUUGAGGGUGAGAACCCCGUCUGUGGCUCGGAGCCUUCGUCCUUGUGUCGUGUCCUCGAAGAGUCGGGUUGUUUGGGAAUGCAGCUCAAAAUGGGUGGUAAAUUCCAUCUAAGGCUAAAUAUUGACGAGAGACCGAUAGCGAACAAGUAGAGUGAUCGAAAGAUGAAAAGUACUUUGAAAAGAGAGUGAAACAGUACGUGAAAUUGUUGAAAGGGAAGCGUUUGGCAUCAG
RNAcentral lists this ribosomal RNA (436 nucleotides) under uncultured fungus. Its description in RNAcentral is "eukaryotic LSU rRNA". It matches the Rfam family "Eukaryotic large subunit ribosomal RNA", at positions 1 to 432 of the family's 3401-position model. Lineage: Eukaryota; Fungi. The record is from RNAcentral.